This is a non-coding RNA of Elaeis guineensis (African oil palm), 419 nucleotides long. Lineage: Eukaryota; Viridiplantae; Streptophyta; Magnoliopsida; Arecales; Arecaceae. The record is from RefSeq and is a predicted model, not a curated record.
AAGGGGGACCUCGCCCGAGCGCGCCGUCUUGGGAGCGAGCAACGAGGCCAGAAACCCUACGCCCACGACUCCCCCCCACCUUUAUAUAAGCCGCUUUCACCUCUCCUUCUUAAUCUCUCUUUACCCUCGCCACUCCGAUCCUUCUCUUUAGGGAUUUGCUCUCUCUCACAUCUCCGUGGAGGUCGCGACGACAAGCAACAAGACAACCUCAAUCUCUCCGAUCUCGGUUCCGCUCUCCCCACCACCACUCCCGCUCUGAGCGCGGAGGACCGGGCCGGCCUCGUUAAUGCUCUGAAGAACAAGCUCCAGAGCCUAGCAGGGAAGCACUCUGAUGUGCUGGAGACCCUCUCGCCGAAGGUCAGGAAGCACGUUGAGGUGCUGAGGGAGAUCCAGGUUUGAUCUUUCUCCCCAAUCUUGAU